This is a small nucleolar RNA of Medicago truncatula (barrel medic), 207 nucleotides long. It matches the Rfam family "Plant small nucleolar RNA U3". From Rfam's summary of the family: Small nucleolar RNAs (snoRNAs) are involved in the processing and modification of rRNA in the nucleolus. There are two main classes of snoRNAs: the box C/D class, and the box H/ACA class. The record is from Rfam. Lineage: Eukaryota; Viridiplantae; Streptophyta; Magnoliopsida; Fabales; Fabaceae.
ACGACCUUACUUGAACAGGAUCUGUUCUAUAGGAUGGUACUACUGUGUCUAUGAUUCCUAUAGGAUGAUGAAAGACAACCGUGCGAUCAGAGCGUGAUUAACGGCUGAGAUGAUUCUUCUCAUGUUGAGACAUCAUCAUCUUGUGCUGUAGAUGAUCGUUCUCAGACACACGCUGUCUGGGGUGGUUGCAUGGUGUUCUUACAGACU